CACAGGGUAGACUUUGGCGCGUUAAGUGCUGCGGGAACGGAAUGUGGACCGCAGACGAAGGAACUUCCGCGAUGCCUUAGUCACAUUCACUGUU
Molecule: non-coding RNA, 94 nt
Filed under: Weissella ceti
Lineage: Bacteria; Bacillati; Bacillota; Bacilli; Lactobacillales; Lactobacillaceae
Description: THF-I sequence
Rfam family: THF (Tetrahydrofolate) riboswitch aptamer
About the family: THF riboswitch presents a pseudoknot that joins P1-P2 and the loop of P3 and two THF binding.
Source: Rfam by way of RNAcentral